RNAcentral lists this long non-coding RNA (542 nucleotides) under Homo sapiens (human). RNAcentral's name for it is "non-protein coding lnc-SLC25A23-2:2". The record is from RNAcentral. Lineage: Eukaryota; Metazoa; Chordata; Mammalia; Primates; Hominidae.
AAAAAAAAAACUCCCAGGACUGACCUGAGCCCUUGGCUCCUCCCAGACCACUCAACCUUAGUCAUAGCCCUCGGAAUCCCCAAUCCCCACAUCUGGCUCAGCCACCCCCGCCCCUCCACGUCCCACCCAGGUCACCGAGGCAGAGGAACUUCUUCAAAAUCUGUUUCAGCAGUCCCUGUCUGGGCCCCAGGCCUCAGUGGGGCUUGAGCUGGUGAGUAGCUCCCAUUCCCUGGGCGCUGGACCUUAGGUGGAUGGGAAGGCUGCGUCCCAGCCAUCAUGACCACAGAGUCGUGCCUCUUCCCCAGGGCAGCGGAGUGACGGUCUCCAGCGGGCAGGGUAUCCCCCCCCCUACCCGGGGGAAUAGCAAGCCGCUUUCCUGCUUCGUGGCCCCGGACUCCGGCCGCCUGCCAUCCAUCCCUGAGAACAGGAACCUAACGGAGCUGGUGGUGGCCGUGACUGACGAGAACAUCGUGGGGCUGUUCGCGGCGCUCCUGGCCGAGAGAAGAGUCCUGCUCACCGCCAGCAAACUCAGCACCGUGAGG